UACAGAGGUCUCAAGCGUUGUUCGGAUUCAUUGGGCGUAAAGGGUGCGUAGGUGGCGGGGUAAGUCAGGUGUGAAAUCUCGAGGCUCAACCUCGAAGCUGCACUUGAUACUGCCUUGCUAGAGUACUGGAGAGGAGAUUGGAAUUUACGGUGUAGCAGUGAAAUGCGUAGAUAUCGUAAGGAAGACCAGUGGCGAAGGCGAAUCUCUGGACAGUUACUGACACUGAGGCACGAAGGCCAGGGGAGCAAACGGG
RNAcentral lists this ribosomal RNA (253 nucleotides) under uncultured bacterium. Its description in RNAcentral is "partial 16S ribosomal RNA". It matches the Rfam family "Bacterial small subunit ribosomal RNA", at positions 524 to 776 of the family's 1533-position model. The record is from RNAcentral.